GACGAACGCUGGCGGCGUGCUUAACACAUGCAAGUCGAACGGUGAAGCUCCAGCUUGCUGGAGUGGAUCAGUGGCGAACGGGUGAGUAACACGUGAGCAACCUACCCCUGACUCUGGAAUAAGCGCUGGAAACGGCGUCUAAUACUGGAUACGAGAAGGGUCCGCAUGGGCACUUUCUGGAAAGUUUUUCGGUUGGGGAUGGGCUCGCGGCCUAUCAGCUUGUUGGUGAGGUAAUGGCUCACCAAGGCGACGACGGGUAGCCGGCCUGAGAGGGCGACCGGCCACACUGGGACUGAGACACGGCCCAGACUCCUACGGGAGGCAGCAGUGGGGAAUAUUGCACAAUGGGCGAAAGCCUGAUGCAGCGACGCCGCGUGAGGGAUGACGGCCUUCGGGUUGUAAACCUCUUUCAGCAGGGAAGAAGCGAAAGUGACGGUACCUGCAGAAGAAGCACCGGCUAACUACGUG
RNAcentral lists this ribosomal RNA (468 nucleotides) under uncultured bacterium. Its description in RNAcentral is "partial 16S ribosomal RNA". It matches the Rfam family "Bacterial small subunit ribosomal RNA", at positions 28 to 507 of the family's 1533-position model. The record is from RNAcentral.